RNAcentral lists this ribosomal RNA (1363 nucleotides) under uncultured bacterium. RNAcentral describes it as "16S ribosomal RNA". It matches the Rfam family "Bacterial small subunit ribosomal RNA". The record is from RNAcentral.
AGAGUUUGAUCCUGGCUCAGGACGAACGCUGGCGGCGCGCCUAACACAUGCAAGUCGAACGAGCGAGAGAGAGCUUGCCUUCUCAAGCGAGUGGCGAACGGGUGAGUAACGCGUGAGGAACCUGCCUCAAAGAGGGGGACAACAGUUGGAAACGACUGCUAAUACCGCAUAAGCCCACAGCUCGGCAUCGAGCAGAGGGAAAAGGAGCAAUCCGCUUUGAGAUGGCCUCGCGUCCGAUUAGCUAGUUGGUGAGGUAACGGCCCACCAAGGCAACGAUCGGUAGCCGGACUGAGAGGUUGAACGGCCACAUUGGGACUGAGACACGGCCCAGACUCCUACGGGAGGCAGCAGUGGGGAAUAUUGCACAAUGGGGGAAACCCUGAUGCAGCGACGCCGCGUGGAGGAAGAAGGUCUUCGGAUUGUAAACUCCUGUUGUUGAGGAAGAUAAUGACGGUACUCAACAAGGAAGUGACGGCUAACUACGUGCCAGCAGCCGCGGUAAAACGUAGGUCACAAGCGUUGUCCGGAAUUACUGGGUGUAAAGGGAGCGCAGGCGGGAAGACAAGUUGGAAGUGAAAUCUAUGGGCUCAACCCAUAAACUGCUUUCAAAACUGUUUUUCUUGAGUAGUGCAGAGGUAGGCGGAAUUCCCGGUGUAGCGGUGGAAUGCGUAGAUAUCGGGAGGAACACCAGUGGCGAAGGCGGCCUACUGGGCACCAACUGACGCUGAGGCUCGGAAGUGUGGGUAGCACACAGGAUUAGAUACCCUGGUAGUCCACACCGUAAACGAUGAUUACUAGGUGUUGGAGGAUUGACCCCUUCAGUGCCGCAGUUAACACAAUAAGUAAUCCACCUGGGGAGUACGACCGCAAGGUUGAAACUCAAAGGAAUUGACGGGGGCCCGCACAAGCAGUGGAGUAUGUGGUUUAAUUCGACGCAACGCGAAGAACCUUACCAAGUCUUGACAUCCCUUGACGAACAUAGAAAUAUGUUUUCUCUUCGGAGCAAGGAGACAGGUGGUGCAUGGUUGUCGUCAGCUCGUGUCGUGAGAUGUUGGGUUAAGUCCCGCAACGAGCGCAACCCUUACUGUCAGUUACUACGCAAGAGGACUCUGGCAGGACUGCCGUUGACAAAACGGAGGAAGGUGGGGAUGACGUCAAAUCAUCAUGCCCUUUAUGACUUGGGCUACACACGUACUACAAUGGCGUUAAACAAAGAGAAGCAAGACCGCGAGGUGGAGCAAAACUCAGAAACAACGUCCCAGUUCGGACUGCAGGCUGCAACUCGCCUGCACGAAGUCGGAAUUGCUAGUAAUCGUGGAUCAGCAUGCCACGGUGAAUACGUUCNCCGGGCCAUUGUACACAC